UGGGGAAUAUUGCACAAUGGGCGAAAGCCUGAUGCAGCAACGCCGCGUGAGUGAUGAAGGCCUUCGGGUUGUAAAGCUCUGUCUUUUGGGACGAUAAUGACGGUACCAAAGGAGGAAGCCACGGCUAACUACGUGCCAGCAGCCGCGGUAAUACGUAGGUGGCAAGCGUUGUCCGGAUUUACUGGGCGUAAAGGAUGCGUAGGCGGAUUUUUAAGUGAGAUGUGAAAACCCUAAGCUUAACUUGGGGACUGCAUUUCAUACUGGAAAUCUAGAGUGCGGGAGAGGAGAAUGGAAUUCCUAGUGUAGCGGUGAAAUGCGUAGAGAUUAGGAAGAACACCAGUGGCGAAGGCGAUUCUCUGGACCGUAACUGACGCUGAGGCAUGAAAAGCGUGGGUAGCAAACAGGAUUAGAUACCCUGGUAGUCCACGCCGUAAACGAUGAGUACUAGGUGUAGGAGGUAUUGACCCCUUCUGUGCCGCAGUUAACACAAUAAGUACUCCGCCUGGGAAGUACGAUCGCAAGAUUAAAACUUAAAUGAAUUGACGGGGUCAUAGCUGUUUCCU
This 563-nucleotide ribosomal RNA is filed under the name uncultured bacterium. Its description in RNAcentral is "partial 16S ribosomal RNA". It matches the Rfam family "Bacterial small subunit ribosomal RNA", at positions 355 to 1375 of the family's 1533-position model. The record is from RNAcentral.